UGUUUUAUCUGUAAUCAACAURAUAAAAAGAUCGACUCUGGGAGGAGAGGAAAGACAAAAGGAGCGUCACAGGGGUGCCACAAAGGGGGAGAGGAAAGGGGGGCAAUAGCUCCCUCCGUAAAUCUGACUGAGAAAAAUCAGUUCGCCUGUUCUUGAAGUUGGCAUCAUGUCAGUCACAUGAUUUCAACCUCCAUUUUUUUUAAAUGGGGGGAAAAUUCAUUGUGAGACUCCGUUACAAACUGUGUCAAAAGUAGAGACUUCAAACUAUACAGCGGUUUUUAAAUUGUGUCGAUAGGUUAAGAGAAGAAAACCAGAGUUACGAUAAAAGGCAUGUCUUACUAUUUUUUUUUUUCUGAAAAUGAGCGUUCCAUUUUGAAGCGUGYUGCAGCUGAAGGGAGCAGRAAACACWGUAAUCUCGUGAAAAAAACACARCUGUCCAUCGUCAGUCUCAUCUUCCUCYURAACCGAAAAAAGUAUAACCCCCCAGACCUCCUUUUUGACUGAAGCUCAAAGUUAUCUGACAAGCAGUAAAAAAUCUACAGGAAGAAGAAAAUAAAAAGAGGCGAAAUUUGAAUGGAGAUUGGCGGCAAUGAAGAGCCGGAGAAGCACGGAGGAGGAGUGCUAUGUUGCUAAAUGCGGUGGUGCAGCUCGAGGUGGAACCAGGCAUGGGACUCGUUGUUUCUUGAGGACCAGGUGGUGAGGCGCAGGUAAUGACAAGUGUUACCUGCCCGACAUAAAAAGUUACCUGAAUUUGAUCAAAUAUAAGAAAAACGUGUAGU
Long non-coding RNA from Austrofundulus limnaeus, 779 nucleotides. RefSeq lists it as uncharacterized. The transcript is spliced from 2 exons. The record is from RefSeq and is a predicted model, not a curated record. NCBI's taxonomy places the organism in Eukaryota, Metazoa, Chordata, Actinopteri, Cyprinodontiformes, Rivulidae.